CUAGCACUUUCACAGAUCCUGCCCCAGCAGUGGGGACAGGAUUUGGUAGCUGGGGCUGAGAGAAAACCCUUGAUUGCGUCCUUGCCCCUGGUACUGUAGCAGUAGCAGGUGUUACUCAUUGGAACAGAG
Small nucleolar RNA from Ictidomys tridecemlineatus (thirteen-lined ground squirrel), 129 nucleotides. Ensembl annotates it as small nucleolar RNA, H/ACA box 30. Its record names the gene SNORA30. Lineage: Eukaryota; Metazoa; Chordata; Mammalia; Rodentia; Sciuridae. The record is from Ensembl.